CUGGUUGGAUCCUGCCAGUAGUCAUAUCGUCGUCUCAAAGAUUAAGCCAUGCACGUCUAAGUACAAACUUUAAUAAAGUGAAACCGCGAAUGGCUCAUUAAAUCAGCUAUGCUUCCUUAGAUCCAUAACAGUUGUCUAUUUGGAUAACUGUGGUAAUUCUAGAGCUAAUACAUGCCUCGAGUCCUGCACCUCACGGUGCGGGCGCACUUAUUAGUCCAAAACCAUCAGGGCUUGCCCUGUGGUGAUGGGAACUCUGGAUAAUUUUACCUGAUCGCAUGACCCGGCAACGGGUCGGCGACGGAUCUAUCAAAUGUCUGCCCUAUCAACUAGAUGGUAGGUUAAAAGCCUACCAUGGUUAUCACGUGGUAACGGGGAAUCAGGGUUCGAUUCCGGAGAGGAAGCCUGAGAAAUAGCUACCACAUCCAAGGAAGGCAGCAGGCGCGCAAAUUACCCACUCCCAGUGAUGGGGGAGGUAGUGACGAAAAAUAACGAUACGCGGCCUCUUAUGGGGUGCGCGUAAUUGGCAUGAGUACACUUUAAAUCCUUAACA
RNAcentral lists this ribosomal RNA (550 nucleotides) under Otoplanidae gen. sp. RNAcentral describes it as "bacterial SSU rRNA". It matches the Rfam family "Eukaryotic small subunit ribosomal RNA", at positions 4 to 539 of the family's 1831-position model. Lineage: Eukaryota; Metazoa; Platyhelminthes; Proseriata; Otoplanidae. The record is from RNAcentral.